Molecule: unclassified non-coding RNA, 2167 nt
Filed under: Leishmania donovani
Lineage: Eukaryota; Euglenozoa; Kinetoplastea; Trypanosomatida; Trypanosomatidae
Description: gene:LdHU3.04.0950(CDS-product:hypothetical_prote in)
Source: RNAcentral
GCACGUCAGGGAGCCAGAAGCAACGUGGGCCCCCUUCCCUGCCUCGGCCACCAGCCACCGUCAUCACCCUCGCAGGCCUAUUCGCGCGUCCCUCCCCCAACCCUCCUAUAGUGGUUUCUCUCUCUUCCUUGAUUGAACCCCUCCCCCGGCAGGCGACGAUGCAGAGCCGUGCCGCGCCCGGUCGUGUGACGGCGGCAGCGGGGCCGUCCGCGUCCUCCGCGGCGCAGCAGGGCACUGCCAAAGGUGCAGUGGCGGCAAGCGGUACCGCGAUGCUGACGGCACCGCUCGGCCUGCAGGCGACGGUGCUCUCCCAGCCUUCCUUCUUCCCCUCCUUAGGCGAGGACCUCGGCGACAUCGCCGAGGAGGGCGACAUCCUCUUCCCUGUUCUUGGUGACCCGUGGAGCCGCGUGCGGCGCGGUCAGCCGCCGUGUAGCCGCCUUACCUCAACGUCGACGGCGUCACCGCAGCAGCAGCGCACCCGCGAGGCCGUCACGAUGCCGGUGAACUUGUGCUUCUCCACAUCUUUAUGUGUGCAGCCAGUACUUACACUGCCGCGCAAGAUGGGAGCGCUGCUUGCCAGCGAGGUGUUCCGCGCUCUCCUGUGCUUCCACAACGCUGCCAACUACAGCCUGACGCAGGCGCACUUUCACGUAGGUGUGGCGCAACCGUCGGCGCCGCUGCGGCGUGCUUUACUGCGUUGCACCGUGGAGACGCUCCCGCCCAAGUCGCACUACACACUUGUUGCAGCGGUGCCGCUGAGCGAGGCGAGCACCUAUGCGCUGGCGGUGGCGGUAGACUACUACGACCCGAGCGAGCGGCAGCGGCAGCUCAAGUGGAGCAGCACGUUCAAGACGGAACAGCCGAUCAUGGAAGUGCAGCCGAGGUUUCUGCGAUACGUCCGGCCAACGUGGACGUCGGCGGAGGACCAACCAGACGGCAGCGACAACGACAAUGAAUCCGAGCUGCAUUCGUCAACUUCCUCACGCGCGUACGCGCUCUACCAACUGAGCGUUGGCCUGAAGAACAUGUCCAGCGUGCCGCUCUGUCUCGCCGACUCUAAGCUGGUUCUGCCAAGCCUCACCCAUCACCGCGGUGCGGCGGUGUUUCGUGAGGUGGUGGCAAGCGGCGGCCGCGUAGAAAGCGCGAAGCUGCAGAACUGUUGCAGCACUUCGUCAACGGCAGCGGAAGAAUCGCGGGUGCCGGCGCCGGUCCUCCUCAUGCCGGGCGACACGCACCUACUGCUCUUCACUGUUGGCAUCCUCCUGGAGGAGCUGCGACACGCCACGGUGGUGCACGGCCGCGGCGGCCUCAUGACACGUCGCCUUAGUCCUCGGCUUGCAUCACUGGGGUAUGUGCAGUGGACGUGGUGCCGCGCAAAUGGAGAGACUGGAACGGCGCGGAGCGCACAGCUGCGCGUCAAAGAGCUCUUGGCCGAGGCGGAGGUGGAGCUGCGCGUCACGCGCGUCAUCGCUGAGUCGGCAGCCCACCCCUCGAAACGGCCGCCGUCGUCUUCGACGACGACUUUGGAGGACGGUGACUUUGCGGCAGCUGAUCCUCACUACCAUGCGCUGCACAAGCAGACACCGCCGGCGCCUCUCCUCGCUGGGUCGCCCGUCACGGCGCACUUCAAGGUGGUCAACCACAGCAACGUGCAUCGCUACGACGUGGCAGUCAAGGUUCGCGUGGAGCGUCUAGCGCCGCAGUGGCUCUACGCGGGGCCCACCGUGCGCCUGCUCGGUCUCCUAGAGUCUGCAAGCAGCCUAACCUUUUCUCUAACGCUCCUGCCAUGGCAAGCGGGGUGGCGAAGCAUCUCACGCGACGCGAUAGAACUCGUGGAUGCUCGCACGUCGCAGGCCGUCCUGUGGCCGCCGUCUGCGACGGUCCUGCUGCAGUCAGUCUCGGGCGAGAGCGAUGUCGUCCUCGGUAAAGCGGCCAGCGUCAGUGGCGACAAGGCGGACGCGCACGAAGACGCGACGCUGGCGGCGACAGCGCCGGCCAUCGCGGCGGUCGCCAUGAAGGCCCUCCCGGCUGCGGAUGCUGACACGCUGUGCGAUGUGUUGGUUCUCUGACGGAACGUGGCGUGCUUGUGCUCGUUAUUACGGUUUGCGGGUGCUGUGUGUGUGUAUGUAUUGGCUCGCGUGUGUGCGCUCUCGGCCCCUUCCCCUUC